AAUUUUUGACAAUGGGGGCAACCCUGAUCCAGCCAUCCCGCGUGUGCGAUGAAGGCCUUCGGGUUGUAAAGCACUUUUUGCAGGGAAGAAAAGGCGCCGGUUAAUUCCUGGCUCCGCUGACGGUACCUGCAGCAUAAGCACCGGCUUACUACGUGCGUGCAGCCGCGGUAAUACGUAGGGUGCAAGCGUUAAUCGGAAUUACUGGGCGUAAAGCGUGCGCAGGCGGUUCGGAAAGAAGGAUGUGAAAUCCCGGGGCUUAACCUCGGAACUGCAUUCUUAACUGCCGGGCUAGAGUAUGUCAGAGGGGGGUAGAAUUCCACGUGUAGCAGUGAAAUGCGUAGAGAUGUGGAGGAAUACCGAUGGCGAAGGCAGCCCCCUGGGAUAAUACUGACGCUCAUGCACGAAAGCGUGGGGAGAAAACAG
Molecule: ribosomal RNA, 423 nt
Filed under: uncultured bacterium
Lineage: Bacteria
Description: partial 16S ribosomal RNA
Rfam family: Bacterial small subunit ribosomal RNA
Source: RNAcentral